RNAcentral lists this ribosomal RNA (471 nucleotides) under Caulobacteraceae bacterium C1. Its description in RNAcentral is "bacterial SSU rRNA". It matches the Rfam family "Bacterial small subunit ribosomal RNA", at positions 1 to 522 of the family's 1533-position model. RNAcentral also lists the same sequence under 2 other names. The record is from RNAcentral. Lineage: Bacteria; Pseudomonadati; Pseudomonadota; Alphaproteobacteria; Caulobacterales; Caulobacteraceae.
UGGAGAGUUUGAUCCUGGCUCAGAACGAACGCUGGCGGCAUGCCUAACACAUGCAAGUCGAACGAGACCUUCGGGUCUAGUGGCGCACGGGUGCGUAACGCGUGGGAAUCUGCCCUUGGGUUCGGAAUAACUCGCCGAAAGGCGUGCUAAUACCGGAUGAUGUCGUAAGACCAAAGAUUUAUCGCCCAGGGAUGAGCCCGCGUAAGAUUAGCUAGUUGGUGAGGUAAAGGCUCACCAAGGCGACGAUCUUUAGCUGGUCUGAGAGGAUGAUCAGCCACACUGGGACUGAGACACGGCCCAGACUCCUACGGGAGGCAGCAGUGGGGAAUAUUGGACAAUGGGCGAAAGCCUGAUCCAGCAAUGCCGCGUGAGUGAUGAAGGCCUUAGGGUUGUAAAGCUCUUUUACCCGGGAUGAUAAUGACAGUACCGGGAGAAUAAGCUCCGGCUAACUCCGUGCCAGCAGCCGCGGUA